This 4455-nucleotide unclassified non-coding RNA is filed under the name Rhagoletis pomonella (apple maggot). RNAcentral's name for it is "probable RNA helicase armi, transcript variant X2". The record is from RNAcentral. Lineage: Eukaryota; Metazoa; Arthropoda; Insecta; Diptera; Tephritidae.
AAAGUUAUUUGCCAAAAUGUUGUCGUUUUUGAAAAACCUCUGGGAGUCGAUGGAUGCUGAGAAGCAGCGGCAAAUGUAUGCAGAAAAACUAGAAGAAGAACAACGGCGGCUGGAUGCCGAGAUUGAAAAGGAAGAGACUGAAAAACUCAAAUCUGGCGAUGCCUCAAAUAUGCAAAAUGUGCUUGCGUCUAUUAACGGAACAAAAAACACUAACACCACUCUCAAUAAUAAGGAGGAUGAUACGUGUUUUGAGCGCCUUGGCGUGAUAACGACAUUAAAGAGUAACCAUGGUACCAUUGACCAUUCUAUAUUUUUCGACAUUGACUCUGCUGGUGGUUUGGCUAGUGAUUUGAAAGUCGGCUGUCAUGUCAAGUAUUUAGCAUUCCAACAGCUGCAUAGUGAUCACAUCAAAGUAGUUCAAAUCAAAGAAGUAUCAGAAUUGUUUUGGGAUGAUUCUUUACCUACAGCGGAGAAGAUCGAUGAACAAAUUGCAGAGCUUCGUAAUGAAAAACCAACAUUUUUUAACACACAUCAACGCAAUAUACUCGGUCUUAUUAUGGAGCGUAAACCGGGCGCUAUAGUCGUUGAUACCGAACACAAGUUAAUGAAUAUUAAUUUGGACACGGUUGAAAUAGAUUUUAUACCACAAGCAGGGGACCGUGUCUUCAUCUGUUGCAAUGUACAAAGCGAUGAGCAUUUCGUGAAUCGCCAAGGUGAAGUUUUGCAGGAAGUGAGCGUGCAUCCGGCACGUUUACUGAAACAGGAAAAAUGCGAAGUGCGGCGUUUGAACGCAGAUUGGGGAGUGCUAAACGAGGACUGUUACUUUACCUUCGAUGUUGUGCCCAAUACCUGUAAGCUUGAUGUAGGCGACAUCGUCCUGGCCGAUCUAAUCGAAUGUGAACGGGAUCCAUACAUUUGGCGCUGUAUCAAAUUAACACUACUGGAACGUACAGUACCCCAGCCGACUAGCCCGGCUGCUACAGGCCCAUCAACAAAUGGCGACAGACGCCCAACACCGAAUGCCCGCAACGAGAGUAAACAUGCAAUUACAGUCUCCGAAGAUCAACGUUGUGUUUUAGCUAGUACUUUUCAGUCUCAAAAGGUUGAAAUGCUCAUUAAAAACAAUGUUGAGCGUAAAUUGCGUGUGCUUUCAAUCGAAUUUUUGGGUCGUAGACGUGAUUCACAAGUUAGACUUGUAGAUCCAGAUCCCAAUGCCACCGCUUUUGAACUCCCAGGAAAUAGCAGUCGCACACUAGUAUUUGAAGUUGAAUCUAAAUUCUAUGGCGAAUCUCGAGAAGUGUUUGUAAUUAAAUUUGAAACGUUCCGCGUAAAGCGCUCAAUUUUGUUGGUUGUGUGCGAGACGGAAGCCGAAGCCGAGGCAGCGCGAGCUCAGCCUACUCAUAGCAUUACAAAUUCAUCGAGUGGUAGUUCACAUAAUUUGCGACAACGUUCCCGUCAUUACGCCAAUCAAGUGUGGUCCAAUAAAGGGGAAGUUAUACCAGGCGUUGGUUUGGCAACAAAGCGCCGUUUCCUAGCACAUCGCAUUGCUUUCUAUGAGGUGCCCGAACGUUUGCGUAAUACCUACUUGACAGCAUCCAGUCGACAGGAAAUGAUGGAUAACGUGGAAAGUAUGUUUCCAUGCUUGAAAGAAGAACUCAGUAUAAAGAAUUACGCCAUACGGUUUCAAACGCUAGUAUAUUUAGAGGAAAUUGAAUAUUUUGUGAAUUUCCGAAACUACGAUCGUGAGCGUGCGCAUUUUACCCGCGACGGCGAGUUUUUGUCACUCACUAUUGAAAAUCUCUCUGAGCGUCGACCAUCACUCGUUAUUGGCGACACUGUACGCGCCAUUAAUCCUUGGUCCAACGAAGAUGAUAAGCGAAGCUAUGACGGUGUCAUUCACAAAGUACUCUUCAAUCGCGUACUACUCAAAUUCAACGAAGGUUUUCAAUCAAAAUACAAUGGAGAAGACUUUCGAUUGGAAUUCUACUUUUCGCGUUUUGCUUUUCGCAAGCAACACUACGCAGUCAAUCGUAUAAUAAAGCACGUGGGCGAACAAUUCCUUUUCCCUUCGCGUGUGUUUACACGUGACGAGCCGCAGUUACCAAUUGAAUUAGACAGCGAUGAUAAUCUCAUGCUCAAAGGCACACAGUGUCCUUGGUUUAAUCCGGAGCUGAAUCCUAUCCAAAAGCGCGCCAUACGCAAUAUCUUGCGUGGCGAAUCGCAAAAUAUGCCCUAUGUAAUAUUUGGACCGCCAGGCACCGGCAAGACAAUGACACUAGUUGAAACCAUGCUGCAACUGAUUAAGCACAUACCUAGUUCACGCCUACUCAUAGGCACACCAUCGAAUGGUUCAGCAGAUCUGAUAGCAACGCGUUUGAUAGCAAGCAAACAAUUACAGCCGGGUGAUUUUGUACGUUUAGUAUCACAAAAUCAAAUUGAAAAGGAAAUGAUACCGGAGCAUUUAAUGCCUUAUUGUGCCACGGUGGAUAUGGCUGCCGAUGGCACCUGUGAUGAUUCGAUGAUUGUUACUGAAUCGGGCAUGAAACUGCGUUGUCAAAUGAAAUACCUGGGCCGUCAUCGUCUCACCAUCAGCACAUGCACUACGCUCGGUAAUUUUCUGCAAAUGGGCUUUCCACCUGGCCAUUUUACACAUGUACUAAUCGAUGAGUCUGGUCAGUGUACUGAACCGGAGGUUAUGGUACCCGUAUGCUUGGUUGCUCAGAAACGUGGUCAAGUUAUAUUGGCCGGUGAUCCACAUCAAUUGCAAGCGAUUGUUAUCAAUCGAUUUGCUUCUGAACACGGCCUCUCGCUUUCACUUCUGGAACGCAUAUUAGGACGUACGCCAUAUUUACGCGACGUAAUGCGAUUUCCUGACACUUCGGGUUUCGACCCGCGUUUGGUUACAAAGUUGCUCUACAAUUACCGUUCCUUGCCCUCCAUAUUGAAUGUAUACAGCGAAUUGUUCUAUGACUCUGAGUUGCGUGCCAUGGUGAAUGAGAAAGAUUCGCGCGAGGCUGAGAUGUUGAAGAAGCUUGAUGUACUGUUACCCACAUCAGAGAAACGACCUAAAUCGCAUGGUAUUUUCUUCUAUGGCACACGCAGUGAAAAUAAACAGGAAUCCGAUUCACCUUCGUGGUUCAAUCCGCUCGAAGCGAGAAAUGUAUUCCUUAUGACCAUCAAGUUAUAUCGUCAAGGUAUUGAACCUGAAAAUAUUGGCAUUAUAACACCAUAUAUGAAGCAAGUGAAACAUUUGCGCACUCUUUUCAUCGAAGCAGAUAUUGCUAUGCCAAAAAUUGGUUCUGUCGAAGAAUUUCAAGGACAGGAGCGUGACAUUAUUCUCAUCUCUACAGUGCGCUCUUCACAGAAAUUAAUCAGUAGUGAUUUGCGUCAUGCGCUUGGUUUUGUUCAGAGUGCUAAACGCAUGAAUGUUGCCAUUUCUAGAGCUCGUUAUCUUAUGUUUAUAUUUGGAAAUCCGCAUCUGCUUUACUUAGAUCACUGUUGGCGUACAUGCAUAAAGUAUUGUGUAGAUAAUGAGGCAUACUUGGGCUGUGAUUUGCCAGAUGAUUUCGAUACUAGACCGGAACUAGAUGAACAGGGCGAGGAGAAAAUUGAGUCCGCUACAACAGCAACAACAACCAAUGAGCCCGCAUUGGAAUCGGCACUACCGGCUUGAAAUAAGCAAUGUUAUCAGGACAUGGAUAAUCUUUAACCUUUUUGAAAGCAAUCACCAAAAGUCUAUGUUUUAACACGUCCUCAUUUCACCAGGCCUUUGGACAUCUACGUUCAUUGAUCGUAAUUGACUGAUGCCAAUAGCUUUUUCUUGGAUACAAAUCUAGUUGCAUGUCCAAUAACGCCAGUAUUUUCAAUAACUAUGGGAUAAUAGUGACUACCGACUAUCCUCGUAUUGUCAGCGGACCAAUUAAAUGUAAGAUCACCCUUGUAGAAGGCCAGAUCCAAAACCGAACAAGUUGAAGCAAGAGUAUCUCUUUGAAACGUGUAAUGACCACUAUUAAGUACGUGAAUAUUCGACCCUUUAUCUAUUCCUACUUUUUGGUGUAAACUUUAAAAGAUCAGCAAAGAUUCUCUCAAGCUGGUAAACAAUGCCUCUCUUAUACUCAUCCGUGCCAAAUACGGGAUUGGGGACAGUCUUGGUAUGCUUUCUAUAUAUAUUUCCCCUACUACCUAGGAUCACAGAAUAAACAGUAUACAGAAGACUCACCAAAUACAAAUUUAUUUUUCUUCGGCGGACGUAAUAUUACAACCCGGACCAGAGCAGAGAAGUUAACAUUACGACCGCUAUGAAUAACAUGGCGACCCGGAACAGAGCAGAGGAGUUAACAUCACGUCCACUACGGUAACAUGAAGUUAACAUCUCGCCAUAAACACACAUCGUAAUCAGCGUUGCCGCGAGCUUGAAAAAAAUGUAUCAGUUGCUAAGCAGAAAAAGUAUCAAAA